ACUCAAAUAGCUUAUUUAGAGCAUAACAUUGAAGAUGUUAAGGUAAUUUUAUGUUUUUGGGUA
Molecule: transfer RNA, 63 nt
Filed under: Phymateus morbillosus
Lineage: Eukaryota; Metazoa; Arthropoda; Insecta; Orthoptera; Pyrgomorphidae
Description: tRNA-Phe
Source: RNAcentral